RNAcentral lists this transfer RNA (63 nucleotides) under Bottapotamon lingchuanense. RNAcentral describes it as "tRNA-Gly". The record is from RNAcentral. Lineage: Eukaryota; Metazoa; Arthropoda; Malacostraca; Decapoda; Potamidae.
AUUUUCUUAGUAUAUAAGUACAUUUGACUUCCAAUCAAAAAGUCUAAAAAUUCAGAGAAAAUA